AACGAACGCUGGCGGCAUGCCUAACACAUGCAAGUCGAACGAGACCUUCGGGUCUAGUGGCGCACGGGUGCGUAACGCGUGGGAACCUGCCCUUAGGUUCGGAAUAACUCCCCGAAAGGGGUGCUAAUACCGGAUAAUGUCUUCGGACCAAAGAUUUAUCGCCUUUGGAUGGGCCCGCGUUGGAUUAGCUAGUUGGUAGAGUAAAAGCCUACCAAGGCGACGAUCCAUAGCUGGUCUGAGAGGAUGAUCAGCCACACUGGGACUGAGACACGGCCCAGACUCCUACGGGAGGCAGCAGUGGGGAAUAUUGGAAAAUGGGCGAAAGCCUGAUCCAGCAAUGCCGCGUGAGUGAUGAAGGCCUUAGGGUUGUAAAGCUCUUUUACCCGGGAUGAUAAUGACAGUACCGGGAGAAUAAGCUCCGGCUAACUCCGUG
This 433-nucleotide ribosomal RNA is filed under the name uncultured bacterium. RNAcentral describes it as "partial 16S ribosomal RNA". It matches the Rfam family "Bacterial small subunit ribosomal RNA", at positions 29 to 507 of the family's 1533-position model. The record is from RNAcentral.